Molecule: long non-coding RNA, 1048 nt
Filed under: Mus musculus (house mouse)
Lineage: Eukaryota; Metazoa; Chordata; Mammalia; Rodentia; Muridae
Description: predicted gene, 30504
Source: RNAcentral
GCAGAGGGGUAAGAUGUAGCUGCUAGAGUUUCCCAGUAUCAUGGUGGAUCUGCAAAGAUUCACCACUGGAGGAAUCAGAUUUUAAUAAGGCUUACAAGAUUAGGUUUUAGUUGUUGUGCCCAGAGACUGAGUUACCAUUGUUUCUGAACUAAGUUUGUGUUGCAUUUUCCUUCACACAGCGGCUCAUCCAGGUUCAAGAGAAAAAGUUAUGGCGGCAAAGCAUGAGUUUGCCUAAUGUGCACCACAAAGGCCGUGGAGAAUUUGAAGCAUGAGGCUGGCAUGACCACAAAACCCCCAAAGAGACCACCACAACUCCGGUACAAGAACACGAGAGUCUUUAUUUGAGUUCGAGCUCCUGCCACAAACCACCCCAACUCAGCAGGCUAUGCAAAGACAUACUGACAGAAUAGUAGAUCCAGGAGUGAAAGAAACCCUGAAAGCCAUCAAUGUUCAUCUGCGGCAAAAUUCCUGAAAGCGAAAGACUCCCUGGAGCGCAUCUAACCAAGGAUGGGAAGCAUUUAUCGAGAAAUGACAUUUCCCCUGCCAUCAGCUGCCUUUGUGGAUGGCUCCAUCUGAGUUUCCUGGCAACAAUUUUAAAUAUGAAAGUGUCAAGCUCCGUGCUUAUGGAAGAUGACCUGCACCGGGGCCGAGCCUCUGCUGAGCCUGUGAUGAGCUGUUUGAGAGAGGGAUCAAUGGCUUGCAGGUUACCAGGCAGAGUAAUGAAAAGAACUGGGACGAAUGCAAGCAAAAGUCAGCUGGAGAAAUAAGGCUAUUGAGUGAGAAUGGCUACCAGGAGGGCAAAGCUGCAGGAAGCGGGGACAUGGGGCAGUAGGCAGUUACUGGUAGACACUGAGUGGGAAUGACCAGGCUUCUCUGAACAGUAAAGCCUUAUUAACUUUGAACCUUAGAUGAAAUGACUUUCUGUGGUCUUGCUGGCUCCCAAAAUCACUCUUGCCCCUGACAUGCAUUAAAGAUCAAAAUUCACAUGGCCUGAAAAGGCUUAGGCUUAUAACAUGCAACACAUUUCAAAUAUAAAACUGAACACACC